GGCACUUCUUCAUGCUGCCUUGCGAAGAAGCUGGCUUGCUUCCUCUUUGUCUUCCGCCAUGAUUGUAGAUUUCCUGAGGCCUCCCAAGCUGUGCUGAACUUAACAAUUUGGACAAGACAGCAAAUGCUAUUGUCCAAGUUUUCUAAAGAAGAAUCUGAAGUGAAAUGACAUCAAGAGACCUAUCAAGACCUGUAUCCAGGAAAAGACCAAACCAAUGCAGACCAAACCAAUGCAGAACUCCUAUGUGCUGAUGGUGGUCUUACAUUUCCCUAAGUUUCUGCCGACUAAACUGUGCACACGUUCUCAGGACCUCCUGAAGCUGCGUCACAGGCACUAAUCAAAGAACACAACCAAGAGUUUGGCCUUUUCUUCAGCACUGGGAAUUGUGAUCCAAAGCUUUUCCUGAUGAAGCACAAAGUUGGAGAAAAAAAACGCAAACUAAACAACAACAAUGAAACAGAACAGAGUGAAUCUGCUGUAGCUCAAGAGAGGACGUAGCUGCCCCCACUCCGCAUCCCCGGGCUCGGGUUUGCCUUGCUGACCUCUGCUGCCACCUGGUGCCGCACAGAGAAACUGAGGAGAAACCACAUCAGUCUCCUUCAGCCUCAGCUUCACAUCUGUGGGUCAAGUAACCCUUUCAGAAGCUGAAUAAUGUGGGAAAGCUUUCCUCUCAGGAAAAUGCACACAUCCAACUUUGAGAAGAUGCCCUUGGGGGCGCUUCAAGGAUUCUAGAUAAUAACCCCCUUUCCCGAACAUCCAAGAACCUAAGAUUUUUUUUUUUUUUUUGAGAAAGUCUCGCUCUCUCUCCCAGUCUGGAGUGCAGUGGCGUGAUCUUGGCUCACUGCCAGCUCCACCUCCCAGGUUCACGCCAUUCUCCUGCUUCAGCCUCCCUAGUAGCUGGGGCUACAGGCACCUGCCACCAAACCCGGCUAAUUUUUUUGUAUUUUUAGUAGAGACGGGGUUUCACCGUGUUAGCCAGGAUCGUCUUGAUCUCCUGACCUUGUGAUCCACCCGCCUCGGCCUCCCAAAUUGCUGGGAUUACAGAUGUGAGCCACCGCACCUGGUCCAAGAGCCCAAGUUUUAGAUCUAGAGUGAUGUCAGCAUGACAUUGAUUUCCUGAGGCCCAGGGGCGAAGGAGCUGAGGACAGCAGAGGGGUGAAGGAACUCAGCUACAGACAGCAGCAGCUGAUGCACAGGCCUCCCAGCGCCUGAAGUCACCCGGAAUUGGGAAGUGCUCAGAAGCUUACAAAGCUGCCUCGAGGAACAGUAAGAGGACCUUGUGCAUGAAUAAUUUGUUUCCACACUGCAGAGUGGGUAAUAAGCAGAUUAGUAAAAACAAUUCUGCUUCACUUCAAUAACAGCCUCCUCCAACUCAUUUUUUCUCAACAAACUUAUUUUUGCAGCAGAAGAAUCCCAGACUUCUUAGAGAACCCAGUGACUUUUUGCACCUUAAAUCUGUGAAAUCCUCAUGCUUUCUUCUGCCGUAUCCAUCGUUCAAACAAACAUGAGGCAAAGCUAGACACAUUCCUGAAGGAACCCAAGAAAUUCCUCUCUUUCUCUCUCUGGAAUGAAAUGAAUUCUCUAGACCACCAGUUCUAACCUUCAAAAACGAAACCUGUUUGUGAGAUCUCCUUCAAAUACUACUGUAGACCCCAGUGUUUAUUCAUUAAAUUUUUUAAACAUUUGUUUUA
This 1691-nucleotide long non-coding RNA is filed under the name Homo sapiens (human). RNAcentral's name for it is "family with sequence similarity 157 member C". The record is from RNAcentral. Lineage: Eukaryota; Metazoa; Chordata; Mammalia; Primates; Hominidae.